This 248-nucleotide long non-coding RNA is filed under the name Coffea arabica (coffee). Its description in RNAcentral is "long non-coding RNA (CARA_LNC006619)". Lineage: Eukaryota; Viridiplantae; Streptophyta; Magnoliopsida; Gentianales; Rubiaceae. The record is from RNAcentral.
CAAACCAGUCCCACAGUCCGGCAUCCUAAACUUCAAACUUAGAAUACACUACAAAGAUCUGAAGCCUAAGCUCUGAUACCAACUGUGACAGUUCUCAGGGUCACAUCACGGGGUACCUAUCAGCUUACCACCCGCACGCGGGCAUCCCCUACGGAGAGUUUCGCUUCGUGACUCUUCACGAACGAGAGGCUCGGGGCUUUUCCAGACGAAGGACUUAAAGUCCCAACUGUCGGCAUAUGGCUCUGAUA